UAACCUCUGGCUCUCAUUGUGAAUGUUG
Molecule: non-coding RNA, 28 nt
Filed under: unclassified sequences
Source: RNAcentral